AUUGAACGCUGGCGGCAGGCCUAACACAUGCAAGUCGAGCGAGCGGCGGACGGGUGAGUAAUGUCUGGGACCCUUCCUGAUGGAGUGGGAUAACUACUGGAAACGGUAGCUAAUACCGCAUACCAUCAGAUGUGCCCAGAUGGGAUUAGCUAGUAGGUGGGGUAACGGCUCAACUAGGCGACGAUACAUAGCUGCUCGAAGAGGAUGACCAGCGACACUGGAACUAAGACACGGUCCAGACUCCUACGGGAGGCAGCAGUGGGGAAUAUUGCACAAUGGGCGCAAGCCUGAUGCAGCCAUGCCGCGUAUGUGAAGAAGGCCUUCGGGUUGUAAAGCACUUUCAGCGGGGAGGCGUUACCCGCAGAAGAAGCAAGGGCUAACUCCGUGCCAGCAGCCGCGGUAAUUC
This 406-nucleotide ribosomal RNA is filed under the name uncultured bacterium. RNAcentral describes it as "partial 16S ribosomal RNA". It matches the Rfam family "Bacterial small subunit ribosomal RNA", at positions 30 to 526 of the family's 1533-position model. The record is from RNAcentral.